Long non-coding RNA from Cyprinus carpio (common carp), 469 nucleotides. The record is from Ensembl. NCBI's taxonomy places the organism in Eukaryota, Metazoa, Chordata, Actinopteri, Cypriniformes, Cyprinidae.
GUUACAGGACGCUCGCUAACGGUUAGCUGUAACUUCAGAUGAACGUUUACGUGAAAUGUAACGUUACUUCUUUAAAAACAGGUUUUGUCACACGAAAGAGUGGAAGAUCACGAUGACCUCAUGCACAUAUUUGCAGAGCAGAUCACGCCACUGGUGGAGUCCCACGGGCCUUACUUCCUGUCUGAGCUCAUCGAGGCUCAGGACGCAGAGAACCAUGCAGCUGUCUGCGAAUGUGAGUGGUAACAUGGAUUUGAAGCUAUUCAAUAAGUGGUUUAAACUUGAAGAAUCUGAAGGAUUGAGAAAGACAAAUCCAGCACAUCAAGAGGAAAAACCAGAGGAAAAACAUCCACUGUGGGAGGAACAUAAUAUCUCUAAUGCCCAGCAAUAUGAUGAAGCCAAAGUACCUGUGCAAUUUUACAGGGUGAACGGAUGGCGGAGGAGGAGACAUAUAUCAGCCAGAGUGUUUUGA